AAUUUCUGUUACACCAGCUCAACAGAAAUAGAAGAGACAGAAAACCGUAGAAAACAUAUAAAAAAGAAACGUUUUAACUCAUAUAGCAGUGAUGAAGAUCUUAAUAAUGACUCUAAAAAAGAAAAAGAAAAACUGAAUACCCAUUUAAGUAAAAAGAAAACACAAAACAAAAAAGUAACAAUUGAUUCAAAUUAUAGUGAUGAAAGUGACUCAAUAUUCAACACCAAAUUUAAAAAUGUAGAUACAGUUCCACAACCAACAGAUUCAUUUGAUUUAUUCAAUUGUGAUGAAUCUGCUAAUGAGUUGGAAUUUUUAUUAAAUUCAUCAACUCAAAUCACUGUCUUACCAAAUGUGGAAAAAUUAGUUGAAGAUAAUCAGUCAUUAGUAGAAGAUUAUAGUCAGCCAUUAACUAUCUGUGGUAAUAAUCUAUAUUAUUAUCAUUAAUCAAUUAAAUAUGUUCAACAACUGUAUUUUUAAUUACUUACUAUUUAUAGA
Molecule: long non-coding RNA, 495 nt
Organism: Aphis gossypii (cotton aphid)
Lineage: Eukaryota; Metazoa; Arthropoda; Insecta; Hemiptera; Aphididae
Exons: 3
Source: RefSeq, a predicted model, not a curated record